Molecule: long non-coding RNA, 509 nt
Organism: Rhinopithecus roxellana (golden snub-nosed monkey)
Lineage: Eukaryota; Metazoa; Chordata; Mammalia; Primates; Cercopithecidae
Exons: 3
Source: RefSeq, a predicted model, not a curated record
AUAGUAAAGUGUGUCUUGGUUUAUGCCCUAGGAGUCAGAAGCUAAGGCACUCCUUUUUGUGCUUGUACAUUUGUCUUAACUGAAAAUAACCCAAGGAUAAGGAAACAAAUAGCUUCCUGAAAUUACUCGGAUUGCUGGAGUGAGGGGUGGUGAUUCUGUCGUCAUAGGAAGGCAACAAAGGCCAAAGUCAUAUUUGAGUUAUUACCAUUAUUAUUCACCACAUUUGCCAUCUUAUUUCAAACUUACAAUGGCGGAAGUGGACUAAGACAUCAUGUUGCCUCAAAUUUGAUUGGAAAUCAUGGCUCCUGGAGAAUGACUCCUCCAAAUCUAUGCUCCACAACUCGUGAUGCUCCCCACAAUGCUCUAGGAAAUGCUAGAAGAGUGCUAAUUUUUCUGAGCUUUGUUGGAAAAACUUGCCUUGUAAAGAAUGGACACUCGGUAGAUGCUUAUUGAUGAACCUGUUGAUUGAGGAUAACUCUCUAACUUUUCUGAGCUUUGUUGGAAAAACU